Salvia hispanica is the source of this 545-nucleotide non-coding RNA. The record is from RefSeq and is a predicted model, not a curated record. NCBI's taxonomy places the organism in Eukaryota, Viridiplantae, Streptophyta, Magnoliopsida, Lamiales, Lamiaceae.
CUUAAUUAAACCCUGCUCAAAAACCCCCAAAUUGACACUCAUUCCGGCGGAGACAGACGGCGGCGUACCUCUGUAAUUCGAUCCAUCAAAGUUGGAGUGGAAAAUAAUGCAAGAGACACUAGCUAGUGAUUCAAGCAGAGGAGUUUCAGCACAGAAAAGGGUCCCGAAAAAGAUGAGGAAGGUUCCCGAAACUUAUUUCCUUCCCCGCAGAUCUCUUUCAUAUAACCUUACGUUUUUUGGAGCGUGUAUCGCUGGUGGGAUUGGCGCUGGCAUGCUUCUGCAAAAGUGGAUAAACAAGAAAGUCGCAGAGGAUGGAGGUGUGAUAUACGAGUUUGACUGAUGAAAAGCUCCAUGGUUUAACCACAGCUUACAACUGAUUUUCGUGUUGUUGAUCGUGUUGGUUUUGAAGAUUUGUCUAAACAGUCAGAUAUUUCGUCCCAGAAUUGAGUGGAGUUCAUCAAUAAUGUGCUGUUUCAGGUCUCUUUUUGUAUGUGCCUUUACUGAAAACACUUUAUAUCUGAUUUAUGUCCAGCAUUAGUCUUGCA